This 2423-nucleotide long non-coding RNA is filed under the name Cucumis sativus (cucumber). RNAcentral's name for it is "long non-coding RNA (CSAT_LNC002537)". Lineage: Eukaryota; Viridiplantae; Streptophyta; Magnoliopsida; Cucurbitales; Cucurbitaceae. The record is from RNAcentral.
UUUUUGUUUUUUCUGCUUAAAAUUGCCCAAAAUGAUACCUUUUCGAAUUACGAAGGCUAUGGCGGAUCAGGAUCAGGAUCAAGCAUGUACAGGUAUUGAAGAGCUGGUUCAAGCACAAGCUUUCAAGCGUUCAAUAAUUGCGUUUUUGUUUACCAAUCUUCUAUGGUGUGCAAGAGGAAGUCCCUCUUUCACACACUCGUCGUAUUUCUCUAACGCCGCCACAAUGUCGCUGAAAUCCGGCCGCUUCGACGGAUUCGCCGCCCAACACCGUUUAAUCAGGUGGGCUAGCGCCGGCUGACAACUCGCCGGCAAUGGUGGUCUCUCAUUCUGCCCAAUUCAAGUAAGACAUUUCAACUCUCAAAACCCUAAUCUCCUAUUCUAUUACGCAAAAUUACGACGAUUGAUCGACAUUUUUCUUCAAACAGGUAAGUAUCAAAAUCAGCAUUACUUGUGGAAGGGGGAGUUUGAGAUUUUGGUACCUUCUCGGCGACGGCAAAGGCAGCUUGCACGGGGGUCAUUCCUUGAAAGGGAAGCAGAGCCGUGGUGAGUUCCCACAGCACAAUCCCAAAGCUGUACACAUCAACUUUGCGAGUAUAAGGCUUCUCUUUGAUCAUCUCCGGUGCCAUCCAUCGGUAAGUUCCCAUGUUCCCUUUUGAUUCUCGGCACUGUGUUUCGAGGCAGGAGGUUCCGAAAUCGGCUACUUUUACUCUCAUUUCAUCGUUUAGAAGCAAGUUGUUUGAUUUGAGAUCUCUGUGGAUUACUCCUUGGGAAUGGAGGUAUUCCAUUCCUCUUGAUAUGUCAAGAGCUAACCUCAGUAUUGUUUCUGUUGAGAGUGAAUACGGCUCUUUCUUGUUUAGAUACAUCCUCAGAGUUCCUUGUGACAUAUACUCUGUAAUUAUGCAGUAUACAGGUGGCUUUUUACAGGCUGCAAUGAACUGUACACCAAACAGCCAUGAAUUUACAUUCUUAAAAACUUGUAUUUGUCAGUUGUGUAUAGUUCUGUUGUAAGGAAUAACUGGGAAGGGUAGAUGAAAGAAAUUAAAAGACUAGAAGGUUGAAUUUUUACCUGAACUAUGUUGGGAUGAAAGAGACGAGAAAGCAAGGCAACUUCGGACUUGAACUGUUGCUCGAGUUUGGCUCUUGUUUCCUCCUUUUGGUUUGGAAUUCUCACCAUCUUCACAGCAACGGCUCUCUGCUUGUAAAUUCCACGGUAUAUCCGACUGUGAGCGCCGGAGGCAAAUUUGUUACCAAUGAAGAGUUGAGAUAAAUCAGCUGUCCACUCUUCCUGAUCUUCCUUUGAUGUCUCCCAAGUUUCAACAUUUUCAGACUCUAGGAUCAUCGACCACGAUUCCAAACUAUCAAAUCUUCUCCUUUCCAUAUUUUCCAUUUCAGAAUUCAUCUGGGAUUUCAAAGAGGAAGGGGUUGAUAAGGUUUUGCCUUUUGAUUUACGAAUCCUAAGUGAACCGAAACAUGAGGUCGCCAUGAAGAUUCUAUACGUGAAUUGGACUUUGUCUAUACCAAACACAGGCUUGUUUUUUUAUGUCAAAGCAAACAAUCGUAAGGAAUUUUCCUUCUGAAAGUAUGAAUUGAUUUUAAGAAAUGCAUGAACUGAUUCAAAAACAUGAGUUCUAAAGAAGAAUGAUAAUUGGAUGUGGAUUUUCAUGAAUCAAUGGUAGCAAGGACGAAGACCCAAAAGAAAAACUUAGCAGAAAAAACACAUAGAACAGUUUUCCGCGUCAAGUAUUAGCACCUCUUGUAUAGUUAGGCAAAUGUUCAUGAAAAGACGGGGAACAUAUCAGAGAAAAAGCCAACCCUAAAGAUAGAACUUGGGAUUUCAUGGCUACAGGGAGUGGAAUCAAAGGGAGAAGAAAAAAAGGAAAGAAGAAAGGAAAAUUUUGGAGGUAGAGGAGAGAAAAGGGUCUGAUUUUCACGGUUCUGUAUGAUGAUAUGGAGAAGGAUUAGGUCGUUUGGCAGUAGAAAGACAAUGAAAAAGUGCAGAUAGUUCAGAAGCGUCUCGUGAUUUGGCGUCUCUUUGAUCAAAAGUCGAACUUUUUAAAGAAGGAACCGCUUUAUUUGUUCUUCUUUUUUCAACUGAAUCCAGCUCCUCUGUUUCUGUUUCAUUUCCCAUCAUCAAUGCUAAGUGGCCGAAGUGGCAAAGUCUCAAUGGAUUAGCUUUCAACUCUUAAGAGAAAAUAAGCAUAUAUGCCAAUACCAAUCUUUUAUCCCUUAAAAAAAACAAAACAAAACAAAAUAAUAAUAAAAAAAAAUACCCACAUUUUUUCUACAAGUGGCAGGCACACGUGGGCCAGGCUAAAGUGAAAAAGCGACCAUCUGAGCCGAGUCAAUAGUGAAGAACAUGGAGGUCUGUAGCUUAAUGCAAUGGAGAUUAGAUCCUGUGGUUCUUAGUUAGUGCUUGUCAAAUC